RNAcentral lists this ribosomal RNA (819 nucleotides) under uncultured bacterium. Its description in RNAcentral is "bacterial SSU rRNA". It matches the Rfam family "Bacterial small subunit ribosomal RNA", at positions 8 to 815 of the family's 1533-position model. The record is from RNAcentral.
AGAGUUUGAUCCUGGCUCAGGAUGAACGCUGGCGGCGUGCCUAAUACAUGCAAGUCGAGCGAACUGAUUAGAAGCUUGCUUCUAUGACGUUAGCGGCGGACGGGUGAGUAACACGUGGGCAACCUGCCUGUAAGACUGGGAUAACUUCGGGAAACCGAAGCUAAUACCGGAUAGGAUCUUCUCCUUCAUGGGAGAUGAUUGAAAGAUGGUUUCGGCUAUCGCUUACAGAUGGGCCCGCGGUGCAUUAGCUAGUUGGUGAGGUAACGGCUCACCAAGGCAACGAUGCAUAGCCGACCUGAGAGGGUGAUCGGCCACACUGGGACUGAGACACGGCCCAGACUCCUACGGGAGGCAGCAGUAGGGAAUCUUCCGCAAUGGACGAAAGUCUGACGGAGCAACGCCGCGUGAGUGAUGAAGGCUUUCGGGUCGUAAAACUCUGUUGUUAGGGAAGAACAAGUACGAGAGUAACUGCUCGUACCUUGACGGUACCUAACCAGAAAGCCACGGCUAACUACGUGCCAGCAGCCGCGGUAAUACGUAGGUGGCAAGCGUUAUCCGGAAUUAUUGGGCGUAAAGCGCGCGCAGGCGGUUUCUUAAGUCUGAUGUGAAAGCCCACGGCUCAACCGUGGAGGGUCAUUGGAAACUGGGGAACUUGAGUGCAGAAGAGAAAGUCGAAUUCACGUGUAGCGGUGAAAUGCGUAGAGAUGUGGAGGAACACAGUGGCGAAGGCGGCUUUUUGUCUGUAACUGACGCUGAAGCGCGAAAGCGUGGGGAGCAACAGGAUUAGAUACCUGGUAGUCAAGGGCGACUCGUUUAAAC